This 468-nucleotide ribosomal RNA is filed under the name uncultured bacterium. RNAcentral describes it as "partial 16S ribosomal RNA". It matches the Rfam family "Bacterial small subunit ribosomal RNA", at positions 28 to 507 of the family's 1533-position model. The record is from RNAcentral.
GACGAACGCUGGCGGCGUGCUUAACACAUGCAAGUCGAACGGAAAGGCCCUGCUUUUGUGGGGUGCUCGAGUGGCGAACGGGUGAGUAACACGUGAGUAACCUGCCCUUGACUUUGGGAUAACUUCAGGAAACUGGGGCUAAUACCGGAUUGGAGCUCCUGCUGCAUGGUGGGGGUUGGAAAGUUUCGGCGGUUGGGGAUGGACUCGCGGCUUAUCAGCUUGUUGGUGGGGUAGUGGCUUACCAAGGCUUUGACGGGUAGCCGGCCUGGGAGGGUGACCGGCCACAGUGGGACUGAGGUACGACCCAGACUGCUACGGGAGGCAGCAGUGGGGAAUAUUGCACAAUAGGCGGAAGCCUGAUGCAGCAACGCCGCGUGCGGGAUGACGGCCUUCGGGUUGUAAACCGCUUUCGCCUGUGACGAAGCGUGAGUGACGGUAAUGGGUAAAGAAGCACCGGCUAACUACGUG